UUGCGGUGCAUUGUAGUUGCAUUGCAUGCCUACUAAACUGUGCAGUGCUUCUGCAGUGCAACCGCAA
Molecule: microRNA precursor, 67 nt
Filed under: Haemaphysalis longicornis (longhorned tick)
Lineage: Eukaryota; Metazoa; Arthropoda; Arachnida; Ixodida; Ixodidae
Description: mir-33 microRNA precursor family
Rfam family: mir-33 microRNA precursor family
Source: Rfam by way of RNAcentral